Molecule: non-coding RNA, 96 nt
Organism: Xylariaceae sp. FL0016
Lineage: Eukaryota; Fungi; Ascomycota; Sordariomycetes; Xylariales; Xylariaceae
Source: the annotation of a GenBank genome assembly
GGCUCAAUGGUCUAGUCGUAUGAUUCACGCUUCGGGUAGCCCCCUCCAAUUCAUUGGAACUGUGUGAGGUCCCGGGUUCAAAUCCCGGUUGAGCCC